This 604-nucleotide unclassified non-coding RNA is filed under the name Athalia rosae (coleseed sawfly). RNAcentral describes it as "misc RNA ENSAEAG00005000186.1". Lineage: Eukaryota; Metazoa; Arthropoda; Insecta; Hymenoptera; Athaliidae. The record is from RNAcentral.
AAUUAGACAAGUAUAUAAUAUUUAAUCUUCACCCUAAUCUCACCUUGAAGAAUCUAUAGUCGGGUUCUUGCCUAUUCGGUACCUCCGUUAGAAAAUACUCAACGUGAAUUUCAUUUAAAUCGGAAUCUUUACAAUCGUCCGCCAGCUAAAACUAGAAGGGGUGAGUUCGCGUGCUUUGCGUUGGCUGACCUAAGACUAUCGACCCUGCUUGACCACUUAUGCCAAGACGAGGCUGCUGAGGAAAUUCUAAGCUUUAUAUUCCAAAGAAAUAUACUUCGCUGGAUCAGAAGUAGUCGUUCUAGAUCAUGCAUCAGCUUUAUAAUCGAGGACACUGGAAAAAUGUCGGCGAUUAAUCUUCUUGGCUCGCGGGUGCGUGAUAUAUCCGAGUCAAUUCUUGCAAUAACGGCUGUUAUUGCUAAUGUAAUUUUUAUAGCGACCUUGACGGGUGCGUAAACCCAUAUAAAAAUUUGCAUUUCUCAUCGGAACACGUCACCUAGUUCUACACUUGGUCUGACGAUCAGAAUUCGAGCUUUUACAUUACGGUAAUUGUUUGGAGUAUCCCCUCUAUCCUUUCGUUGUAGCUUUAUUCACUCGUAUAACUAAU